RNAcentral lists this transfer RNA (65 nucleotides) under Opisthotropis latouchii. RNAcentral describes it as "tRNA-Phe". Lineage: Eukaryota; Metazoa; Chordata; Lepidosauria; Squamata; Natricidae. The record is from RNAcentral.
GUUAUCAUAGCUUACGCUCCAAAGCAUAGCACUGAAAAUGCUAAGACGGUUAUCCUGAUUUAACA